AGCGGCGCCGGGGGCCGAGCGGGGCGGGGUGCGCCCGGGAGCGGCUUAGCGCGGGGCAUCGUUCCACUCAGGCUACUAGGAAGAAGGCAGUAUCAGCUGUGAAUGACACAAGAACAACUGGGGAAGAGGAUGAGAAAACUGUGAAAGAAUUGCUGGGGGAGAUGCCUGGGGACAUUGGCAGUGUUUUGAGCCAGCUUCUGAAGAAAACCUGGAGAAGUCUUACUGGAGCUGAAGUUGCUGCAUGAAGGAUAGAGGGAAACAAGGGUGGAUCCUCUUCCCCACAGUGAUGCCAUGAUAAAGGAUGACCAAUAGCUGUAAGGAGAAAGAACAUAUAAGGGACAAGCCGAGAUAACACUUAGUAAGGGAUGGAAAAUGCCAGGCCUUCGUAUGGUCUACUGACUCCCUGGCCAAGAUGUGUCCUGCAGCUGAUGUAUAGCCCUAAGCAGGAAACAGCCAGGGCAUGCAUUUCAUGAGUGGGGUAUAUGAGGCGGUACUUCAUCUCCAGGCCUCAGUGGAGGACACAGAGCAGAGGCAAUAUCAUGAGGGGACGUAGCAGGCAUAGACAUGAUUUUUCAUCAUGCUUGUUUACAAUGCGGCAGCUCGACUGGACUUGCUUAUUUAUGUUGAACUGCACAGUGUGCAAGCACUCAGCAAAGAGGCAGGUAUCCAAAACCAAGGUGUUAGUACAGGCUGCAAAUCAAGAGCACGGUGAACUGAACAUGGUCACAAACAGGCUUUAAUAUUGCACUGCAGAACAGUAACUCCCACACUAAAUGAAGAAAAGGGUUAAAUUUGUAGACGGCUGGCUUUGCAUAGUCUGGCUAGGCCCACCACACUGAUAUUUAUAAACUCUCAGUGGAUGACUGAGAGCAGCUCCAGGCCUGCCGAGGGCAGACUAGCUCUCUAGCAACACACUGCAGGUGAAUUUAAGGGUGUGGUAAUUGAGCUGGGCUUGGGUCACCCAGUAGCAGUCUGAACCCAGCCAGCCAUGCUAGGCAUAGCUCUACACUCCUGAACAAAGUGUUCCAUUAGGCCUGCUGGAGCCUGGGCAGCCUCCACUAGUCAGGCUUUCUCUUUCUGAAUUUUAUGCAAUGAAAAGAAUGGGAUAGGCAGGGCGUGCAAGGAGGAUUUUGUUCACUUCCAUAAAGAAUCCAGACUACAGCUAAGCAUCUGGAAACAUGCUUCUUGGGAUUUCAGUGUUGCAUCUAAAAUGCUAUGUUAUGACAGGGAGCAGAAGAAAAAAGGAUCAGUGACUUUGCAGAUGAAUGACCAACGUACUAACAUGACAAAAUGAGCUCUUGGUUUGCCAUAAAUACAUUAUCUAAGCUUUCAAGGGUUGAUCAGUAAGAAUGCAAAAUCUCUUUCAAAGGAUGUAGAUGAGAAGGAGGGGUACUCAUCAGAAUUAAAGAACAGCUUUUGCUAGACUGGUGUUCCUGGCAGGUUACACCUGCUUCCCACUCUGUGCCUUGCUGCCACUCUGUCUGGAGCAACGUGCUUCUAACAAUAGCUGGUAGCUGCAAGGUACAGAGUGUGCUACGCAGCUCGUUUCCUCUUCCUCCUGCCUGAUUGUUAUUGCAGAGCUCCCAGCAAGAAGGGCUCUUUAAUGCCAUUAAGUCACAAGAAACUGUGGCUUUGAUAGUGAGGAUCUGAUUUAAUGCAAUACCAAGUCAAAGAAAAACAUUUAAAGAGAGAAGAUGCCUUUCUCUAAGUGCUUUGUACUGUAAAGCUUCUGUAUAUACACAUACACUCACAUGCUCACACAUCCUGGAGGAGGUGCGUGUCCAGAAGGGAAAUCCUGCCUGCACCGGAGUUCAUGACAAAUGUUCCCACUGACCUUGGCAGGGCAGAGUUUCAGCCACUGUCUGUGUAUGUGGGGGACGGUGUGGAAGUGUUCAGGCAUGAUAUGUCUGUAUUUACUUGCUGUGAAGGACUGUGGGAGCCUGAACAUACUAGCAAUGUACCAAAAUACAAAUGGAGAGUAAGAGGUUGUCCCCAGGACAAGGCCCAGGAGCGUUGCCAUGCCUUCCUGCACCACAUGUGGUCUCCUGCAGCUUUGUCUGUAUGCAGGUUGUGGGAGCACCCUAGGCAGUGACCUUACUCACCAUCAGAGUCUUGGUGGGGUCUUGGCUUGCUUGCUUGUUUUUGGCUUGGUGACUUUUUUGUGUGUGAUGCUUUCUUGUUUGUCUUUUUAACACAUAUUGGGGUUAGUCUAAAAAUUGCUCAACUGCCUUCAUUCUUCUGCUCUCAAAAUAGAUAGGACAGUUUUUGAGGGCCAAUUAGAAGGGCCAGCUGGCCCUUGAAUAACCAUAAUCCUGCAUUCAGUGAUUUCACUCUGCUUGAUUUUACCUUCAGAUAUGUUUUCAGUGUGGCAGAAGGACAAGAAACCUACUUCUACAAGUAAUUUAGUGGUUAUGCACUUCAAAACUCCCAUUUUAAUGCUGAUUGUAAUUCUAUUCCACUGUUUUUUUCUAAAAUCUGUUUUGAAUUUGUGCACCUCUAAGCAUCAUUCAGUGAUAUUAUAGGUGGAAACAUAAGAUCCAGUAUAAUGAACACGAAUCCUGUUUUCCUGGAGACCUUUUAUAGAUCUACUGAAGGUAAUUCAGAGACUCACAGUUUAAAGACCUGCUUUAAUUUGUGUAGCUGUAAUGUGCCAAACUUGAGUGGCUAAUUUCGUAUCAGUCACUGAAUGCAGUGGGCCAGCCACAUGACUUCCUUAAUUUAAAAUGUGUUUUGUAUUUAUGGGUUCCUCCUGUUUGUAACUAUCAUUUUGUAACAGCUGCCCUGUGGUACAGCAAGCACCACAAAGCAGAAUCCCUAUGUCUGAAAGGCACUUCCUUCCCCCUUCAUCUUGACAGCACACAUCUGAGCCAAGGUUCCUCUGUGCAGAACCGGGUUGGUCCCAAUACUGGGGCUCUCACUCCUGCUGGAAAGCACUGCACAUCCAUGACUGAGACCAGAUUUGGGGCAGUAUGCCAAGUUCUUUUGAGGAUUUGGGCCUGGCUGUAAAUGUCACAGCUGGUGGCUUCCCACUGUUGAAAAUCUGCUGCAAUAUUAUGGAUGAUGAGCAUUUGGAAAAUCUGGUGCUGAAGACCAGCAGUCAAUAGGGUGAUGUAAAGGAGAGUGGGACAAGGCCCAGAGCUGCAGCACAGGAAAGCAGGAAUACAUUCAAAGUCAUAGACAUUGUCUGUGCAGGAUUCCAAAUACCUGGCAAAACCAAAGCAAAACAUGAGCAUUACUAAAAAACAUCAGGUAGACCUAUUUCUGCGUAGCAAGUAUAAAACCUUGAAUUACUUCCAAAAAAGAUCUGAAUUACCAUUACCAGUGCUCCUGCAGAAGCACUCUGAACUAAGAGCUUGAAGCCAGAGACUUCCAGUUACACUGGAAAAAUGCAUUCUCACUCCCAUGCGGAGUGGUGGCUCCUUGGACAUGUUCCACGUUUCACUGGAAGAGCUGGCAAUAUCGUAAAUUCCAGAAGAAAAGCUGCUGAACUGCUUUAAGAUUAUUUUAAAGAUGUGUACAAACUACUUUCAGAAAAUUAUGAUCACUGUUUUUUUUUGUUGUUGUGAAUCUUCACGUUUACUCUUCCUUACAUACUAUUUACCUUCUCCCUUUGGAGCACCGUUGUAUAUGGAAACCUGCUCAGCACAACACAUAAACAGCUGUGGUAAGCAGUCUAUAAAGAUGUAAAGAGCAGUUGUUGUCACUGUACUAACAAAGCAGAUUUUAUCAAAUUUGCCUUCAAACCAGGCUCUCAGCUGCUCCCAAGCAUAUCGAGAUGACCCCUACAUGUGUUAGCAAUAUGCUACAAUGACAUACAUGUGUUCCUACGUAGCCUAUUCCAGCACAGGUUUCUUUGUUCACAAUCACAUUAUGCAUGUGUUUGUUAUUCAUGUUUCUGCUUCCACAACUUUCCUUUGAUGUAAGUACAAUACAACUUUUUCAUCGUUAUUUGAAACAGAAACGUCGGGACAAAAGGAGCAUCAAAUAUAGGAAGUACUGAGUUACAUUUUGCCAGUGGUUUAUACCUUUUCUGUAUGUUAAAGUCAUCAAUAACAUAUUUUCAGAAGAAAAAUGAAUGACUUGACUUUUGUUCAGACUACAGGCUUAGCGUAAAGGUCAGACUGUGAUGCCGUGACACAGUGACUGCUCAAAGUCUGCCGCAGAGAGUUUGUGUCAGGGGCAGGAGCAGAUUCACAUUGUCUUUAGCAGUGCCAGAGACAUUUUUUUCUGAAGAGAACAUUAGCUUUUAAGUCUCCUGCAAGUCCUCUGAAAAAUAAAUAUACAUCUUUGGAAAGUGACUGGAAAGAUGCUUACAUGAGAGCUGGAAAAGAUGCUCAAUAUCAAUCUGUACUUUCCUCUUUAAGUGUUUCUGAGCCACAUCUUCACCUGCAAUUAACUCACAUGGCGUAUGAAGAUACACUCCUCUGUGCUUAACCUUUAAACAAAAUUUCUCUGAUUAUUGGCCUUCAUUCCCAGUGUGACUGAGAAACGAGCAGGGCAGAUGGGAGCAGGCGUUCCCAGUUGAUGCUACAGAACAUUUCUGUGAUGAUUUAAAGCUGUGUUAAACAAUAGCUUGUUCACAUUCAAUUUCAGAGCAUCCCAAGAUGCUGUAUGAGGCAGGGAAGAGAACUGAAAUUGCUUUUGCGGAGAUGCUAGGCAUAAUUAAAGGCUCAUGUCUGGAUCUUACAGCUAACAAACUGCUGUACAACAAGGGAAGCGGCUCCCUAAGUAGUUUUUUUUACAAAACACUAAAUAUACUGUUGUAACAAUAAAACCUAACCAUCCAGCUGCCAGCACAUUGUGUGCGUGUGGCACUGUGGACAUCAUGUCCACCCCCUCCCCUCAAAUCCAUCCCCUUCUGCUGUUGGAAAAUAGCAAAAGUCCUACCAGGAGCUACUGAGAAGUUUAAUAAAAAUAAAUUGGAGCUGCUUAAUCCACUUCUGCAAUCUGGCUGUACUUGUUCUGAAAAUCAGGACUGCACCUUUGGAAAAGUGCAGAUGUAAAUGUAAAGUGCAGAGUAAAGUGAGAAGCUGUGAGCACUGCCUUGCAGAAGGGCAGAAAAAAGGCCUCUCGCCGUCUCCCCUUUUGACAUGACAGAUAAAGGCAAAUGCGUGAAGGUCUUAAAGCCCCACUGCAGAGCAGGAAGAGGAAAACAAAUGGCACCACACCAUAUGCCCAUAAUCCCAACUAAAAGGCAUUCAAAUUCAUUUCUCCUCAGCUUCCCUUUUACACACCAGUGAACAAGUGUGUUUGACAACACAGUGUGGGAGUUUCCAGUUCAUUGAGCGGGUUUCCUUCACCUUUGCUCAGGCUUCCACCUGAAUGUCCUGCUCCCAACCACAAGAUGGAUCCCAGGUGGGCUGGUGGGGACCAGAAAUGGGAGCCCCCGGGCACUGCACCUCACACACGGGGCUCUGGGAGGAAGCAAACUGGGAAACUGGAUGCAGGUUGAAGAGAAAGUGCUGGGCUUGGCAGGAAAGCAAUGCUCUCAGGCCCCAACUGCCACCAUGCUGAGCUCGCUGCCUUUGCUAGGCCUGGAGCUUGCCAUGUGUGAGGAAUGCACCUGGGGAAGUGCCUUGCAGGUUGCUGGGACCAGUGGCCUUCAAUAGGCAGGAGCAGCAGGCCAGAGCAGCAGGCACAACAGCUGAGGUGAUGCCAACCGAUGCUGGAAGAAGGAGGCAAGGGAAAAGUGCUGCAGGAUGCUUGGGAGACUGGAAAAUGCCUCGGAGCCAGCGGAGCCAUGAGCGUGUGAGUGGAAGGCAGCAUGGGCUGCUCAUUAGAGCCUGAGCGCAUUGAGAGCAGGAGAGGAUGCUCACAUGGCAAAUCAAUUUGCAGGCAUCAAAUUGAUUUAAAAAAAUGCAAAAGGAUGCACUCACCAUUAUAAAUCGAAUAGGAAGAGCAGCAGAUAAACAUGGUCCAUGGUUCAUAAAACCACAGUUAGAGAGAGUGGAACCUUUUUCUCAGGCAAGAUAGCAGGCAGUGUGCCCUUAUGUCUCAUCUGCAGUUUUUCACAUUUCUAUUUUUCACAUUUCCAAUGCCAAACUAAUUAUUUUCCUCCAAAGGUCCUUUCCACUUCUCUUCAUCCUCAUCCUUCUGUUGACAUUGACUGGACGUAUAAUCACAGCAUCGCUUUUCAGUAUUUGACUCUUGCUUCAAAUCCUUUUUUCUCCCUUGUAGCAUCUCUGAGAUCUCAACCAAGGAUCCAAAACACUUGCUUAUAACUUCACAGUCUCCAGGUUUUGGGUUUCACAUCCCCCUCCUUACCAUCCUUUUCACACCUCCAUCCCACUGCUUCCUACACAGAGUACAGCUGCCAGGUUGAUGAUACAGAUGUAGAGAUAAAAUCCAAUUCUCCAGAGCUGCCUUAGUAACACUUUUUCAGCGUACAGUUCCAGAUACUUUUCUUUGCAUGCAUUUUCUCUGUGCUUUCAGGUUCACCAUGCUGACUUUGCCUCUUGAGCAGGCGCAGCACCCAAGAGCUGUAGCAGGGUGUUAUUCUCCACCCUCACUCACAUCACAGGGAAAACAAGAGUAGUCGGAGUGAGCACCAAACCAGCUGUUUGAUAGAUGUUAAGUCAAGCAAGAGGUUGCACUACAAAGUGAUAGGAAAUAGGCUGUCAUGUUCUUCCAUUACCCCCAAGCCUGACUUCUCCCAGCACUGCACAUCUCCUUGGCCCUGCUUCUAACUCCUCGGUAUCUCAUACCAUCCUCAUGCGCUUUUCAGUGCUCAGAUCUCUGCUAUGUCCUUGCCCCACUCCGUCUCCACGUUGAGACAGCCUCAGUGUCUGCUUUCUGACUGACCUGGGCCAUCCUCCCCGAUGGCUUUCAGUGAGCUGAACAAGCAUAUUCUGCACCGGUUCAAUCCCAUCAGAUUUUCAUACUAUUUUUGAUGAUAAAAAUCUGUAGGAAAGAUCCAGAGGGUGUCAUUCUCCGAAAAAGCUGAAGAUUUCCUGAAAAUUUCAUCCUGAAAUGUGUACCAAGAAUGGAAAAGUAACUUAAGGCAGUUAAAGUUCAAGAAAUGUAUGGGAACUGCUUCUUACGAAAAGAAAUGUAGGAAGUGAUGGCUACCACCCAGUCUGUGGUUUAAGUUUAUUGUAGGAGUUCUUGCCUACUGUUUUCCUAACCAGGAGUAAGGCUCCCAAAUGAGCUAAUUCUCUAUGUCAAGCCAUACUAGUUCUAUAUAAACUGCAAUAUUUACUUAAAAUCCUCUUGCAGACAAUGUAGUGAUGCAAACUGUCCCAUAGUGGCUGCUCACAAUGUCAUUAUUAUACAUCUCAUUAUCCCAAGACAGCUGGCAAAAAUGAGCUGGGUAAUUUACACACAACUUUGAAACUGUGCCUGCAUUUUGAACUGUGUCAGCAGCCGUGGCUUCUUCACAGCCUCUUAAAUGGGCAGCUACCAAGCA
RNAcentral lists this long non-coding RNA (7405 nucleotides) under Gallus gallus (chicken). RNAcentral's name for it is "lncRNA (ENSGALG00010014038.1)". The record is from RNAcentral. Lineage: Eukaryota; Metazoa; Chordata; Aves; Galliformes; Phasianidae.